Molecule: long non-coding RNA, 1651 nt
Organism: Lutra lutra (Eurasian river otter)
Lineage: Eukaryota; Metazoa; Chordata; Mammalia; Carnivora; Mustelidae
Exons: 2
Source: RefSeq, a predicted model, not a curated record
CCUUCCGCCCUGACUUCCCUCCUCCCUCCGGGACCCGGGAGGGUCGCCCCCCACGCUAGCGUGGAGCUGACGGGCGGAGCCUGCGCGGUGAGAGGAGCCUGACAGUGGUCACUGCGCAGGCGCCGGGCAGCUCGCCGCACUCCCGCUGCGUUUUUCCAAAAGUUGCAGUCCAGCGGGUGGACCACCAUCCAGCGCAGCUGCACACAACAGAGAAGGGAAAAGAAAACUCCCCAGGGGCUCCGCUGGCUUCUCUGAAAGUGACAGAGAUGCUUUCCCACUAGAAGCCCGGAAGCCUCCUCCUUUGCAAUUGGAUGAGGGCUGCAGUGAGCACCACUCAUUCUUAUAAAGCCCCCUGCUAGGAAGAGCCAGUUGUGUUUGGGCCCGCGGUGCCUGGCCAUCCCCAUCCAGGCUGGAUUCUGCAGAGGCAUUCAGGCUUCAGGAUGGAUAAUGAACUUUCAAAUAGGAAAGAGAUGGAAAAUCAUCAAAAUUACCAUAAACUGUACUGCCAACUGAAUGCGUGUUUCUUUGUAGCAUAUGCAGAGUCGAGGACAGUUAUAUUCCCACAUUAUACAGCCUGCUAACCUAUUGUCUUAAUCCAGGUGACUCUUGAAAGCAGAGCCUGAGACAAAGGUAGAUGCAUACUCUAUUUGGGAUUGUGAUUCCAGGGAGCAGGAAUGAAAGAGAAAGGAGUGAACAGGGGUAAAAUGGAAAGAAAAUCCAGACAAAACAGGUAGUGUUAUGGAGUAGUCCACCACGGUUAAUGGGUACUUCGCACAUGCAGAUCCUUCUAGAGAUUCUUACUCAGUUUUGUCUCCAGAACUGCCCACCCCUGAAGGAUGAAAGGGAGAAGCAUUUCUCACUCCACAGCCAUCUCUUCCUUGCUGAGGGCCGCUCCCAUAGGGUGUUAACUUCUCCAUCCCUGUGGGCUGCAAAGAUGGAAGAGCCUUCGGGUACCAGAAUAUCAUACAUCGCCACACCAGAGGAGCCUUGGGACUGGAAGGUAGAUUCUUGGUGCAUACCUGAAGCGAAGCACUAUCAGCACCAAGCAGAGCGAAACCUCCUCCAAACUAUUCACCAGAGCUGUGGCUGGAAUUGGAGGUUACAGAGAGAUGUGGAACAGGCAUCUCAUAAGUCUAUAGAAGGUGUUCUUAGCCUUGUCUAAAUCUGUAUCUUCCUUUCUAUAAUCAAAUUUUCAGUUUCCAGCAUCUAGGUGGUUCAUUCGGUUAAGUGUCUGCCUUCAGCUUAGGUCAUGAUCUUGGGGCCAUGGGAUCAAGCCCUGCAUCAGGCUCUGUGUUCAGCAUGGAGUCUGCUUGUCCCUCUCCUCCCUGGCUCACAUGUACUCUCUCUCUUUCUGUCUCUCAAACAAAUAAAUAAAAUCUUAAAAAAAAAAAAAAGUCCAGAACAAGGUUAGCAAAAGGGUUAAAUUAGGAAGGUUAAAUGUAUUAGAAGAUGUAUGUUAAUAAUCGUUCUAACCUGGAGUGAUGUUGAUUAGAAAUUGAUAUGAGAACUUGGAAGAUUAAAAAAUGAUUGUACUUGAAAAAUUGGACCAUUGGAUAGAGAUAUUAGACUUUGCUGAAACUCAUGUAAUCUCAGAAACAAUCAUGAAUUGUUUGGGGGGAAAUGGAAAAAUAAAAUUAACCAUUUCUGUGUC